This 451-nucleotide long non-coding RNA is filed under the name Trifolium pratense (red clover). Its description in RNAcentral is "long non-coding RNA (TPRA_LNC006489)". Lineage: Eukaryota; Viridiplantae; Streptophyta; Magnoliopsida; Fabales; Fabaceae. The record is from RNAcentral.
AUUAAAGGCAAAGCACCGCCGACUUCUGGUGGUGGUGGGUGUGUCUUUGAAGCUAUACCAGUAUUACUACUGUUGUUGCUUCUGCGUAGCCAAUAAAGAAUGAAGAGAAACAACAACGUGGCGCAUAUGGUAAAUGGCAGGGUUGAUGGCGAGAGCAAAUUAUUCAUCAUAUUUUGGAUGGUGUUCUGUUCUGUUGUGGUUUGGUUGGUUGGUUUUACUCUGUUUUGUGUCAACCUGUAGGCUUGAUAUAUUAUCUGGUGUAGCUAUUUAGAUUCUGACAUGGCUUGUAUUUGGACAAAAAUUUGAUGCAGUUAAUGCGACAAUCCAGAUCCCUUGUAUUUUUCCCAAUUAGUUAGCAGUUUCUCGAUUUGUUUUGUACUUUUGCUAGUGUAGUUAGGUAGGGAUUAGUGUUGGUUGGAAUUAAUAAAAUACUGUAGUAGUUUUGUUGUGG